UGGGGAAUAUUGGACAAUGGGCGAAAGCCUGAUCCAGCAAUGCCGCGUGUGUGAAGAAGGCCUGCGGGUUGUAAAGCACUUUCAGUGGGGAAGAAAAGCUCGAGGUUAAUACCCUCGGGUCUUGACGUAACCUACAGAAGAAGCACCGGCUAACUCCGUGCCAGCAGCCGCGGUAAUACGGAGGGUGCGAGCGUUAAUCGGAAUUACUGGGCGUAAAGCGCGCGUAGGUGGUUCUGUAAGUCGGAUGUGAAAGCCCAGGGCUUAACGUUGGAAUUGCAUUCGAUACAGCAGAAAUAGAGUAUGGUAGAGGGAAGUGGAAGUUCCGGUGUAGCGGUGAAAUGCGUAGAUAUCGGAAGUAACACCAGUGGCAAAGGCGACUUCCUGGGCCAAUACUGACACUGAGGUGCGAAAGCGUGGGGCGCAAACAGGAUUAGAUACCCCCGUAGUCC
RNAcentral lists this ribosomal RNA (449 nucleotides) under uncultured prokaryote. RNAcentral's name for it is "bacterial SSU rRNA". It matches the Rfam family "Bacterial small subunit ribosomal RNA", at positions 355 to 796 of the family's 1533-position model. The record is from RNAcentral.